GUCCUAAAGAUUUAAUUUUAGGUUUAAUCUGCCCAAUGAAUAUUAAAUGGCUGCAGUAAUUUGACUGUACUACGGUGGCCUUAUCAUUUGUUUUUUAAUUAAAAACUAGUAUAAAAGAUUGUAUGAAAAAUAAACUUUAUUAAAUUAAAUUAAUUUAAUUUAAUUUUUAAGUUAAAAAGCUUAAAUAAUAUUAUAGGACGAGAAGACCCUAUAGAACUUUAUAUAUAAAUUUUAAUUUUUUUAUUAAUAAAAAAAAAUUAAAAUUUAUAUAUUUAAUUGGGGCGAUUAAAAAAUUAUUUUAACUUUUUUUUAUUUAUUCCAUUAAUUUAUGUGAAUUGGAGCCAGCGGAGGAUUAAAAGAUUAAGUUACCUUAGGGAUAACAGCGUAAUUUUUUUGGAGAGUUCUUAUUGAUAAAAAAGUUUGCGA
RNAcentral lists this ribosomal RNA (426 nucleotides) under Neoncylocotis sp. JD-2008. RNAcentral's name for it is "partial 16S ribosomal RNA". The record is from RNAcentral. Lineage: Eukaryota; Metazoa; Arthropoda; Insecta; Hemiptera; Enicocephalidae.